CGAAUGGAUAAGGAAGAUGUGGCAUAUAUACAAUGGAAUAUUAUUCAGCCAUAAAAAAGAACGAACUCUUGCCAUUGGCAACGACACGGACAGAGCUACAGAGGAUAAUGCUAAGCGAAACGAGCCAGGCAGAGAAUUC
Long non-coding RNA from Lynx canadensis (Canada lynx), 139 nucleotides. RefSeq lists it as uncharacterized. NCBI's taxonomy places the organism in Eukaryota, Metazoa, Chordata, Mammalia, Carnivora, Felidae. The record is from RefSeq and is a predicted model, not a curated record. The transcript has 3 exons.